CUUGGCAACUGGUGUUGACAAACAGCGUGAGCACGGAAGAAGAGGCCUGCCAAUCAGGAGAACAGAGGCUGAAUAUGAGACCAGUGCACUAAGCCCUAUGCUAGUGAGAAGAAUUGCAGUUCAUGCUCUUGAAACACAAAAAAGGCUUCUGGCACUGUUUGACCACUAGUCACACAAAAUUUGACGGAAGUGGUAUUGAAUGACCUUUCAGGCAAGGAAACAGAAGAAGACUUGUCUUCCAUUUUGCCCCAUUCUGGAGUCUUGACCUGUGGUGUGACUCAACAGGUAGCUUUUGGAUUCUUGAAAUCUGAGGAGUACCUAAUUACAUCGUGCUAUAACAUUGAACACAAAACCUGUGAGACCCUAAGAAGAGAGAGAAAUGGUUGGACAGCCCCUACUGCUACAGCUCUACCUUCUUGGAGACACAUCUGCCCAGCCACACUACUAAUGUGUUCCUACUCUUCAGGGAGAAAUGAAUCUGAAUUUCAUAAAGGAAAGCUACAGCAAAGGAGUCAUACAUUACUUUCUGGAUCAGUCAGUUGCUAGAAUCAGUAACAUCUUCUUUUACUAUCAGUUUAUUUGAAAUUACUUUAUUAUCAAAAAAAUGUGUUCUCCAAAUACUUCAAUAGAUCUACCAUUUGGAGAUAAUCCCAGUUUUCUGUAUAUUGCCCACUUCUGUUCACAUCAUUACUUUGAUCCUAGUGCACACAGCUAAUUCUUCACAUAUUUUACAAUAUGAUUUCUCAUUUUUGGUGUGGGUAAUGGUUUUACCAGUUGUGACAAUGUGGUUCUUAUUAUAUUAAUUUGCGUCUUGCCUCUCACAGUCAAACUUCCUCAAACAUCUGCUCUCUGUGUUCCUUUUUGAGCCAAGUUGAUGAUGGUAACAAUGAUGCUGGAAAUCUUCCUCCUCUUGUCUUUGCUCUUUGAAAAGGGAUUUUAAUGUGCCUGCUUUCCAAUUUUUGCUUAAUGCCAAAAUAAUGAAAUAUGUCUUAUUGUCUUUUGAUAUAGAAUUCAUUGUCUUAAUUUGCAAGUUGGCCUUGGGAAAUGUGUGUUAUCAAGGAAAAGAAACAAGCCCUUUUCCCUUAUUUUCCUUCUGGAGUAGACAUGAGUCCUUCUGGAAAGUGGUUGGGAGAUAAACUUUUGAGAUGAUGGAGUCAUCCUGCCAACACUACAACUUCUCUUUCUCCCGUUUCCAACACUGGUUCCCUUUGUGGGUCUCAACAGUCGUGUGGUUUCUUUCCUAGAACAGCAGCGAAAUUUGCUCUUAGCCCUUCCUUUCCACUGAAAUAUAAAUGACUAUCACUGGCAUAUGCAUUGUUUGUAGUUUGGAGGAUUGAACCUAAAGUUUUAGGUAUGCUGCAUGACCCCUAAUCCCAAGCUCCAGCGCCAUGAAAUAUAUUUUCAAAAGCUUUUUCCACCCACUGAAAGAUUUCCAAUGAAGUAUUCGUUUCUUUAGUUUUAGUACCGCUGUAAAGUGGCAUUAGAUCUUACAUAGUUCUCCAAGAUUACCACUGGAUCAAAUAAUUAUAUUAUUUCAAACUCAAAUGUGUACAUUUCCUGAUAUUGCUUUUAUGUAAGCUCAUUUUUACUCAGAUUUGGAACUAAGUUUGUUUGUUAAUGAAAGGAAAAAAAGGUAUUUGGUACUCUCAACCAAUUCUUACCAGUAAUGGCAACAUGCCUGUAAUCCCAGCACUCAAGAUAGACACAGAAGGGUCAGGAGGUCCUCAGGGUUGAAAGGUGCAUACUGAAGCCUUAGCUACACAGUGGUAUCUUUUGUCAGUCUCUUACUCUACUGCAGACAACCAAAUAAGCCGCCAACAAACCAAAACAAAUAAACAAACACCUCUGUGUGCAUGUUCCUUUUUGUCAUUCUGUGAGACUCUCUUAAUACAGAAAAUUUUUUUUGCAUAACUAAUGUGUAAAAUCUGGUUGCAGAGUUCAGUGGUGAUCUUAUGUCUCCCCUGUGAAACCUGGCAGUGAGAAUCAGUAGGGAAGAUGAGGAGAAAUUUAUUUUCAUGCUGCAGAUAAGUGAGACCAUAUUAUCUAUAGCCAGCUGAUCCCUGAGAUGACCACAGGGAAGGUGUGUCUUUGACAGUAGUCCAUCUUUAGGGAGGAAAAAGAAGGUAAAUUAUGUUGUGGAUUUUUUCUCUGCUCCUGAGAAUUCUUUGCCUGGCAUGGUGGCACACACCUUUAUUUUCAGCAUUUUUGGAGGCAGAGGGAGGCAGAUCUCUGUGAAUUCAAAAAAUUCCAGCCUGAUCUACAUAGUGAGUUCCAGACAAGUCAGGAGUGCAUAGUGAGCCUCUGUCUCAAAUACAUAUAAAAUAAUUCUGUUCCUCCAGCCUUAUUUGAGCUGAGUGCUAUUUGUGAGUAAGAUAUGUAGCCUGUUUCAGGUUGUUAGAAUGCCCCAGGCUCUCAUUCUGCCCCCUGGCCCUUUAUAAGCCUAACACAAAUGGCUGGAAAAUAAAACCCCAAUCGUCUUGGUACCUAUGCAUGUAAUAUAAGGGUUUCCAGGACACCAUUGAAAUGAACACGAUUUUUUUUUCUCCACCAUUGAUUCUAGGACAUACUAAGGAAGUUGCUGAUAAU
Long non-coding RNA from Peromyscus californicus insignis, 2586 nucleotides. RefSeq lists it as uncharacterized. Lineage: Eukaryota; Metazoa; Chordata; Mammalia; Rodentia; Cricetidae. The transcript is spliced from 3 exons. The record is from RefSeq and is a predicted model, not a curated record.